Molecule: ribosomal RNA, 484 nt
Filed under: uncultured bacterium
Lineage: Bacteria
Description: partial 16S ribosomal RNA
Rfam family: Bacterial small subunit ribosomal RNA
Source: RNAcentral
AUUGAACGCUGGCGGCAGGCCUAACACAUGCAAGUCGAGCGGAUGAAGGGAGCUUGCUCCUGGAUUCAGCGGCGGACGGGUGAGUAAUGCCUAGGAAUCUGCCUGGUAGUGGGGGAUAACGUCCGGAAACGGGCGCUAAUACCGCAUACGUCCUGAGGGAGAAAGUGGGGGAUCUUCGGACCUCACGCUAUCAGAUGAGCCUAGGUCGGAUUAGCUAGUUGGUGGGGUAAAGGCCUACCAAGGCGACGAUCCGUAACUGGUCUGAGAGGAUGAUCAGUCACACUGGAACUGAGACACGGUCCAGACUCCUACGGGAGGCAGCAGUGGGGAAUAUUGGACAAUGGGCGAAAGCCUGCUCCAGCCAUGCCGCGUGUGUGAAGAAGGUCUUCGGAUUGUAAAGCACUUUAAGUUGGGAGGAAGGGCAGUAAGUUAAUACCUUGCUGUUUUGACGUUACCAACAGAAUAAGCACCGGCUAACCUCGUG